This 433-nucleotide ribosomal RNA is filed under the name uncultured bacterium. RNAcentral describes it as "partial 16S ribosomal RNA". It matches the Rfam family "Bacterial small subunit ribosomal RNA", at positions 29 to 507 of the family's 1533-position model. The record is from RNAcentral.
AACGAACGCUGGCUGCAUGCCUAACACAUUCCAGUCGAACGAGACCUUCGGUUCUAGUUUCGCACGGGUGCGUAACUCCUGGGAACCUGCCCUUCGGUUCUUAAUCUCUUCCCGAAAGGGUUUCUAAUACCGUCUACUUUCUUCGGUCCAAAGAUUUAUCGCCUUUGGAUGGGCCCGCGUUUGAUUAUCUAGUUGUUACGGUAAAAGCUUACCAAGGCGACGAUUCAUAGCUGGUCUGAGAGGAUGAUUAGCCACACUUGGACUGAGACACGGCCUAGACUCCUACGGGAUGCAGCAGUGAGGAAUAUUGUACAAUGGGCUAAAUUCUAAACCAACAAUGCCUCUUGAAUGAUGAAGGCAUUAGAGUUGUAAAACUCUUUUACCCGGGAAGAUAAUGACAGUACCUGGAGAAUAAGCUCCGGCUAACUCCGUG